GAAUUCGCCCUUCGCCCGCCGCGCGCGGGCGGGGCGGGGGCACGGGGGGCCUACGGGAGGCAGCAGUGGGGAAUAUUGGGCAAUGGGCGAAAGCCUGACCCAGCGACGCCGUGUGGGCGAUGAAGGCCUUCGGGUUGUAAAGCCCUGUGAGGUGGAAAGAAGGGUCCAGAGGUUAAUACCCUUUGGACCUUGACGGUACCACCAGAGGAAGCACCGGCUAACUCCGUGCCAGCAGCCGCGGUAAUACAAGGGCGAAUUC
This 259-nucleotide ribosomal RNA is filed under the name uncultured bacterium. RNAcentral's name for it is "partial 16S ribosomal RNA". It matches the Rfam family "Bacterial small subunit ribosomal RNA", at positions 272 to 539 of the family's 1533-position model. The record is from RNAcentral.